UUUCCGUAGGUGAACCUGCGGAAGGAUCAUUAAAGAGUAAGGGUCUUCGGGCCCGAUCUCUAACCCUUUGUUUAACUACCAUGUUGCUUUGGCGGGCCCGUCUCACGACCGCCGGAAGUUUGGCUUCGACCAAACUUCUGGCCCGUGCCCGUCAGUGGCCCCUUCAAAUUCUUGAUCAAGUAUGAUGUCUUAGUUAAAAACUUAAUAGUUAGAACUUUCAACAACGGAUCUCUUGGUUCUG
RNAcentral lists this unclassified non-coding RNA (241 nucleotides) under plant metagenome. Its description in RNAcentral is "partial contains small subunit ribosomal RNA, internal transcribed spacer 1, and 5.8S ribosomal RNA". The record is from RNAcentral.